AGCUCGAUGGUGAAACGGACAUCAUCUCUGGCUUCUAACCAGAACUUCCGGGUUUGAUUCCUGGUCGGGUUG
This 72-nucleotide transfer RNA is filed under the name Rhodopirellula baltica SWK14. Its description in RNAcentral is "tRNA-Arg". It matches the Rfam family "tRNA". From Rfam's summary of the family: Transfer RNA (tRNA) molecules are approximately 80 nucleotides in length. Their secondary structure includes four short double-helical elements and three loops (D, anti-codon, and T loops). The record is from RNAcentral. Lineage: Bacteria; Pseudomonadati; Planctomycetota; Planctomycetia; Pirellulales; Pirellulaceae.